Molecule: ribosomal RNA, 378 nt
Filed under: uncultured organism
Description: partial 16S ribosomal RNA
Rfam family: Bacterial small subunit ribosomal RNA
Source: RNAcentral
GUAGGUGGCAAGCGUUGUCCGGGAAUUAUUGGGGCGUAAAGCGCGCGCAGGCGGUUCGUUUAAGUCUGAUGUGAAAGCCCACGGGCUCAACCGUGGAGGGUCAUUGGAAACUGGAGAACUUGAGUACAGAAGAGGAAAGCGGAAUUCCACGUGUAGCGGUGAAAUGCGUAGAGAUGUGGAGGAACACCAGUGGCGAAGGCGGCGUUUCUGGUCUGUAACUGACGCUGAGGCGCGAAAGCGUGGGGAGCAAACAGGAUUAGAUACCCUGGUAGUCCACGCCGUAAACGAUGAGUGCUAAGUGUUAGGGGGUUUCCGCCCCUUAGUGCUGCAGCUAACGCAUUAAGCACUCCGCCUGGGGAGUACGGCCGCAAAGGCUGA